This 523-nucleotide small RNA is filed under the name Arabidopsis thaliana (thale cress). RNAcentral's name for it is "ATSL219860". Lineage: Eukaryota; Viridiplantae; Streptophyta; Magnoliopsida; Brassicales; Brassicaceae. The record is from RNAcentral.
UGAUUUUCUAUUUUUUAUCUCGUUAUUUAUAAUUUAAACUCAAAUAGUUCAAAAUUUUCAUAUGUAAAAUAUAUUGUUAGAAGCAAAUCUCAUUGAUGUCAACACUAAUCAAGUAAAUGGUGGUUGGGUUAUCCGAGACCACGAAGGAGUUCCUAAAGCAUGGGGUUCGUCAUUGUUGAAACUCACAACAUCACCACUAGAGGCGGAAGCACUAGCACUACUUUGUUCAUUGCAACAAGCAUGGAUUCGAGGGUUCACCAAGGUAUACUUUGAAGGGGACUGCAAAAUCUUAAUUGACAGCAUCAACAAUGAAUCAAUAGAUUCAUCUAUCACCGGCAUCUACGCGGAUAUCAAGUUUUGGGCGGCUAAGUUUAAAGAAGUUUAUUUCUCUCAUGUAAAUCAUUGUUGUAACCAAGUAGCUCAUAAUCUUGCUCAAUAUGGAAGCAUAGACACUAGUUUUUAUUCUGACAUUCAAAAUCCUCUCACUUGGAUUGUAAACAUUUUGUAUGAUGAUCUUUCAAAU